AUUGAACGCUGGCGGCAUGCCUUACACAUGCAAGUCGAACGGUAACAGGUCUUCGGAUGCUGACGAGUGGCGAACGGGUGAGUAAUACAUCGGAACGUGCCCGAUCGUGGGGGAUAACGAAGCGAAAGCUUUGCUAAUACCGCAUACGAUCUACGGAUGAAAGCAGGGGACCGCAAGGCCUUGCGCGAACGGAGCGGCCGAUGGCAGAUUAGGUAGUUGGUGGGAUAAAAGCUUACCAAGCCGACGAUCUGUAGCUGGUCUGAGAGGACGACCAGCCACACUGGGACUGAGACACGGCCCAGACUCCUACGGGAGGCAGCAGUGGGGAAUUUUGGACAAUGGGCGAAAGCCUGAUCCAGUCAUGCCGCGUGCAGGAUGAAGGCCUUCGGGUUGUAAACUGCUUUUGUACGGAACGAAAAGACUCUGGUUAAUACCUGGGGUCCAUGACGGCACCGUAAGAAUAAGCACCGGCUAACUACGUG
RNAcentral lists this ribosomal RNA (482 nucleotides) under uncultured bacterium. RNAcentral's name for it is "partial 16S ribosomal RNA". It matches the Rfam family "Bacterial small subunit ribosomal RNA", at positions 30 to 507 of the family's 1533-position model. The record is from RNAcentral.